GCUCGUUUGAAUACAAUAGUGGGAUAAUAGGCUCUUGAUAAGUGCUGAUUUGGUUUGAUGGGUUUGAUUUUGUUUGGUGGGUAAUGCUUGAUUUUUAUCAUUGUGAUAAUUGUGAUAAUUGUGAUGAUGGGAUGGAUAUGGAGCUUAAUUUUGCUACUGGUUUGGCCAAUUUUGGAUUUUGGUUUUUCUUACUUUAAAACAAAAAUUGUUUCUUCACUAAGUGUAGUUCAAUCUGAUAAAACUGACAAUGCAAAAUGUUUCACAAAUGUUUAAUUUCAUAAUGGGUAAUUUCAAACUUUUGUGAAUGAGGUCUGCAUUGGAAUUGUAAUUAAUCAAGCCUUGUGUUUGAUAUACAGUACUCAUCACAGGUAGGAAGCUUUUUUUUUAUUAUUUUAAAUUUCGGGUAUCCAUCCCAUUUAUGAACUUCCGCCAUAAGUAAUUAGGUUAAUGAAUCUAAACUUCAUGCCUUUGAAUAUUCAUCCCGUAAAAUCUGUGUACUUUUGUUGCAGUGAGUUCUGUAGCAUGGUAAGGAAGAUUUUUAUCUAUACAAUAGAGGAAAUCAAGAGGUUGUCACCCAAGAUAAAACUUACACUCAAUGAAGAGGUCAAACCAGGAAAGCCAGAUUCUGAAGCAGCAGUCAACACCGAAGACUAGUCAUCCAUUGUGGGAGCUGCAUACUGAUCUGCCCCCUUGUCUCUAGCUAUAUAAUGAAAAAUUGAAAAAAAAAUUGGAAAAUGGAACUUAAUUGUCACAUGAGAUUCUGUCUGCUAGGAUGAUGCUAUCUAUGACAAAGUACACAUGCUGGAAGAAUUGGUUGAGUUUCCCUGCAUGCUGAAAUGGAGGGGGACAGUGGCCUGUAAUGCACAUGCAAUCUGGAGAGUCACUACUCUUGACAGGGUUUGGGUGUUUUUUAUGGUUAUUGGUUGUCUAGUUUUGCCAAGAGGAUCUCAUAGUGCUUGCUUGUUUGGGCGAAUUGAGUUAGUGGUAGUCCCACUGGAGCAGCUUAAGUCCUCUGAUUUUACUGAUCAACAAGAAUAUUAUGCCUGUAAAAUGAAAUAAAGGAGCUUUUCUGGUAAUGAACUUUACUUUUGGACACACACAUGCGCAAUGAACUUUACUGUCUUUGAUGGCAUUUUGUGUUAUUUGUUUGAUAGGAAGGUGAUGCUGCUGUUGCCGUUGCUGAGGAGGUGAAGAAGAACAACCAUGUAGUAAGAAAGUUGGAGAAGCGUCAAUAGAUUUGCACCCUUGACCAGCAUAUUGAAGAGCAAUUUGGUUGUGGUCGUCUAUUGGCUUGUAUCUCAUCACGACCUGGACAGUGGCUGUGCUGAUGGGUAUGUGACUUUAUUUGCCUAUGUCUGUUUCUAGUCAGCAGAUUUGUCAUAGGCAUAUUAGUGUAGUUACCGUAUUGCAAGGGCUGAAAUCUGGAUGAUAUCAGCUUCUUUUUAUUGUUGUUUUAAAGUGAGGUAUGUAUGGGUCUUAUGAAAUUUUUACAGAAAUAUAUUGGAGGGCAAAUAAUUUUAUUUUAGUUUUUCAUUCCCAAAUGAUACCCAAAACAUGUAAGCUUCACACUAUGUUAAUUUCUGCAUGAUGGGAAAACAUUGGACAAUGAGUCGGAGGUUGUUGAGAGAAUGAAGCUAGACAAGGUCUACAUAUCCCCUUAUUUCAUCACCAACCAGAACAAUCAGAAAUGUGUAAGUUUUAGUUUGACUCAGCAAUAAUUAUGUCUUGAAACUGUUAGAGGGCUGUCAAAAUUGCUCAGCAGAUUUGCACUCUUGACCAAAUUGCUCUUCAAUAUGUUGGUCAAGGGUGCAAAUCGGUUGACGCUUCUCCAACUUUCUUACUACAUGGUUGUUCUUCUUCACCUUCUCAGCGACGACAACAACAACAUCACCUUCCUAUCAAACAAAUAACACAAAAUGCCAUCAAAGACAGUAAAGUUCAUUGUGCAUGUGUGUGUGUGUCCAAAAGUAAAGUUCAUUACCAGAAAAGCUCCUUUAUUUCAUUUUGCAGGCAUCGUAUUCUUGUUGAUCAGUAAAAUCAGAGUACUUGAGCUACUCCAGUGGGGCUACCAUUGACU
This 2077-nucleotide long non-coding RNA is filed under the name Prunus dulcis (almond). RNAcentral's name for it is "sRNA ncRNA". Lineage: Eukaryota; Viridiplantae; Streptophyta; Magnoliopsida; Rosales; Rosaceae. The record is from RNAcentral.